Long non-coding RNA from Limulus polyphemus (Atlantic horseshoe crab), 1574 nucleotides. RefSeq lists it as uncharacterized. NCBI's taxonomy places the organism in Eukaryota, Metazoa, Arthropoda, Merostomata, Xiphosura, Limulidae. The record is from RefSeq and is a predicted model, not a curated record. The transcript has 8 exons.
AUAGUACCAACUCAGAAAACUUUACACUUGAAGACAACCAGCGCAUCUUCGAACUACCAGUAACUAUCAAAAUAAAGAUGGACUUACACGGAAUUUCAUUUCCAGAAAGAAUCACAUAUAACAAGUCUAUCAUUCUACCUGAAAAUCAGCUUCACACAGAAGACGAUGUCGGACCAGAAGUGGUCCAUGUGUACGAAGUAAGUAGAUCAUCAACAAAGGCCCGAGUACCAUCCAACAAGCAGAAGUUCACAUUCUCUGGCCAGCCUAUACACUGUAUGGCAAACACUUACUCUACUUGAUGGAUCAGCCUAAGGUCAGGGGUAAAGCUCAUUGCCAAGACGUGUUAGAGGUCAACACUCUUUUUUUAAAGAAAGUGUCGAGGAAAAGUGCGAACAGUGAAGCAUUGUUACAAGACUCAGCUGCAGAUAAUAUAAUAAAUAUAACACAUCUGGAGGAGGACAAUUUGUCAAAAAAAAGAAGAAAAGACAACAGCAUGAUGCAGAUGACUUCUUGAACGAUGUGAAAUGUGGUCCAAAUCUGUGUACACGCAUAUACUGCACUUUGUUUAACCUCAACGAAAAUGAUCAAGUUCUCUUCACUAUACGCUCCCGACUGUGGGUGUCAACGAUUGAAGAGAUCGGACUCAGCCAAGUACAAGUGUCAUCGAAGCUGGUAACCCGCGUUUUGGUACUACCUUAUGAUGUCAGUCCCAUUUCUGUUCCUCAUAAAGUUUAUAUGGUUACAACUAAAAUACAUCCAGAUGAUGUCAAACAACGGAAAGUUUUUCUCAGAUGGAUAAUUAUUGCAAUUCCUGGGGGUCUAUUGCUUCUUGCCUUUCUAAUUUGGAGUCUUAUGAAGGUGGGUUUCUUUGACAGAAAGCGUCCCCCAGAAAAGCAGCCACUUCACAGCUCAGAUGAUGAAAAUGGUUACGUUUAUAAUGGUGCAGAUGAAGCACUAUGAUAGAAUACAAGCAAUGAUAAAUAAUUCCAGAGCAAGUGAGUAGCAACAUCUCACCAAAACAUUUUGAUUUCAAGACUUAACAGGAGACCUAUAAUAUUUAGAAAUAUUUGUAGCUAUUCACGAACUGUCACGGUAUGUAUGUACUUAUGUGUGGAUAUGUGUAAUCAAAACACAGUUUGCUUUGAGAGUAAUACCUACUUAUAUACAACUCUGUUGUUUGUAUAAUACCUGAAUGUCAUAAACAAGGAUUGUACAAUUUUUAAACUGGAAUUAGCUUCAACUAUUUUGCUCAGGAAAUAUCAUCAUGAGAAUAUAUGAAAAAUUUAAGAUAUCGCAAGCAGGAGUAGACACGUAAAAUUCUUGGUAUAAAAAGUUGAUGUCAGUUUUUAUAUAUAUUUAAAUAUAUUAGCCCCAUAGUUAUCUUGAGAUGUCAGAUAUCAAUGUUUUUUUUAAUCACAUUUUAUCUAAUUUCUGUGUUUAAAUCAGUUUUUUCCUUGAUAACACAGGCCCGCGAAUUUAAGCUUUAUAAAAGUUGUUUUAAUCUUAAUUCACAUAAUUCAGCUACGCAGAUUUCGAAACUAAUAUUUUUUUUCUAUCACGUAAGGAUUUCUUAC